UUGUUUUUAUUAUUAUUAUUGUUUUGUUUAUUUGAAAAUGCAUGCAUUAUAUGAUUGUUUGAAAGUUUAUACUUUAGCCUAAGUGAAGUAAGAAGUCCAUUAAGCCUUCUGGGCUCUGAAAAGAGCAAUCACUGUGCAAUAACCUCUUCCUCUGGGAGAGACUGAGAGAGCAUCUGUGUAAAUGGAGGGAAACAAAGAGCCAUGCCGUCUUGGAUUCUUGAUUAGGUGCUUUAUGUGUGUGUGUUUGUCCAUUGGCAGAGCAUCUAAAUGGCCACAGAGCUGUUCUGCUCUCUGUAGCGUCUGUCGUGGCAAAGUGCCUUGUCUGGGUAUCACCAUUUCCUGCUCCAGAAAGGAAGUAACAGCAUACACCCACCAUCAUCAAACGUUUCGUCUGACUAACGCAAUGACUCAUCGACACAUCCAGCCUCAAGGCAUUCCAGCUCCGUAAGCAGCCAAUACUUGAAAUCAUCCAGUGGGAAUAGUUGGAAAACCGUCCAAGGGAAUAAUUGGCAAAACACUAUUGGGAAUAGCUGGAUAACUGCUUUUGGGGGAUCUGGCAGAAGGGAGGGCUCUCAUCGUGAGAAUGUAUGUGUCAAAGCUUUCACCUUCGGCUGUUGCGCUUGUUAUCCAACACUGUUGUCUGCCAGCGCUAUGGAACAACCCCAGUAAGGGUUAUUUCCUGUGGCUUCUGAAUAGCGAGAGUCAGAAUGCUAACUGUGCAUGCUGUUUGGGUAAUAUUACCCACAAGCCCUUUGAUUGUGACUGGUAUCUUUUGACUUUAGAGAAAUUAGAAAUGCAUCGCUAUGGCAGGUUUUAAAUAUAUGCAUUGCAAAGGAAUAAUGAAUUCUAAUUCUAAUUUAGUUAAAUUUUAUUGGCAUUGCUGUGGUUCUGAUUAACCCCACUCUACCAGUUGGUGGUGUCAAAAAUGGGGUUAAAGAAUCAUGAUUGGGCAAAAAAAUGGUUAAAGAACCAGACAUAAGAAAAAAAAACAGGGUAAAAGAAUCAAAACGCUUAAAGAAUUAUGAUCAAAGCAAAAAAGGGGGUUAAAGAACCAGAUGUAAAGAAAAAUGGGAUUAAAGGAACAUGACAGAAGCAAAAAUGAGGUUAAAAGAAUCAAAACGGUUAAAGAAUUAUGACAAGCAAAAAAUCCCAAUAGAAGCAAAAAAUAGGUUUUAGAAUCACAACUGAAGCCAAAAAGGCUUUAGAAAUUAUGGCGGAGGAAAAAUGGGAUUUAAGAAUCAAAGGGGUUGAAAAAUAAGGGGUUAAAGAACAUUAUGGAAGCAAAGAAGGGGUUAAAAAAUCAUGACGCAUGCAAAAACAGGCAUUACAGAAUCAGGACAGAAGCAAAAAUGAAUGGGGCUUAAAGAAUUCUGACAGCAAAAAAAAACAAAAGAUUAAAGAACGAAAGGGGUUAAAGAAUCAUAAUGGAAUCAAAAAGCGGGUUAAAAAUCAUGACAGAAGCAGAUUAGCAUAGGCCAAUUAAGUUUGAUGCAGCAAAACAAUAUUUCCCAUCAUUCUCUGUGGCAGUACAAGAAAGAUAAAAUACACAGAUAAAGCAUCAUUGACUCAUCUAAUGCCCGUCGCAUGCUCUUCAUUUUGUCAUACUAUAAUACAACCUUCCUGUCGGGAACUGAAAAUGAUCAAAUGAAAAAUGAAAUUGCCCAAUGUCUCAGUUUUUUUCAGGCUAAAAUGACUUCAGCCCUAAUAGCGCCUCAUGAAUUUGUACAUCAGAACGUCCCGGGAGGACUUGAAUGAGUUCUUAUUAUCGGCCCCCUGUGCUAACACCCGCAUCUUGAGUCUGACAUCAUCAGUGCUCUGCUAACAUCGUGCGCACUUUGAAUGGUUUAUAACAGAUUGUUUUGUCUUACUGAAUAUUUGAUUGUUUGCAGACUCAGUUGCAUGGUCAUAAUUCAGUAUGGCAUCACAACCUUUCUAGUCUGAGUUUUGAAAAUAAAUUGUCGCUCAUUGGUUGACAUGACAACCCAUUGAUUGACAGAUACUGCUGUUAUGAUAAACAGACCACCAUCUGUUCUCCCCUGAGUAUUUCUAAAUGCCUUGAUAUCUUAAUUAGCACCUACUGGCUGCAAAUCAUAAAAAUGAUUUAUUUUAAUUAAAAAAUAAAUAAAUAAAGGUUGGAAUAAACACUUUAAAUCGAAAGACAGGAACAAAGAUUCAGUUCUGUUUCAUGCAUCAGCUAUGUGUUAGAUGUUCUCCUAAAAUACUUUAUGAGAAAACAGACAAAUGAGUCAGUAGUAGGCAUUGCUUACUUCAGAUGCCUCUGGUAUAUUGGCAGUCUUGAGCCUAUGGGUUAAUUGAAAUGCGUAUAGCUAAAUAAAAAUUUAUUAAAUUAGCAUGCUGACAUUGUGGUUUUGUGGUUUUUAGAACAGAACAACAAAGAGCAGAGUAAAUGUAAAUGCAGAGUAAAUGCUGCUGUCAUUAUAACUAAUGUUUGGUAUUCAGUACUGAGAAGAUUUGUGAGUUGAUGUUCACUGAAGACUGACAUUUUCUUUAUCUGUCUUCAAAAUGGGAUUUAUAGAAAUAUUUGAAUGUUGUUUAUUACUGCUUAUCCCAUGGGGUGCAUUUCUCUGUAUUUAAAAAAGGGGGUUAAAGUAUCAUGAUUUAGGUAAAAGAAAGUGGUUAAAGAAUCCUGAUGGAAGCAAAAAAGGGGUUAAAGAAUCAUGACUGAGGAAAAACGUGAUUAAAGAAUUCUGACAAUUCUGACAAAAUGGGUUAAAGGAUUAUAACAGAAGCAAAAAGGUUAAAGAAUCAAAAGUGAGGAAACUUUGCUGUGAGGAAAAAGGGGUUAAAGAAUCAAGACUGAGAAAAAAAGUGGUUAAAGAAUUGUGAUUGAGAAAAGUCUAAUUUAAAGAAUCCAAAGCAAAACGGGUUAAAGAAUCAUAAAGGAAGGAAAAAAGUGGUUAAAGAAUUGUGACAUAAAAAUGUUAUUAAAGAAUCCUGAUAGGAGCAAAAUAGGGGUUAAAUUAUCAUAACAGAAACAAAAAGGGGUUAAAGAAUCAUGAUAGAAAAAUGUUAUUAAAGAAUCCUGAUAGAACAAGACAUGGUUAAAGAAUCAUAACGGAAACAAAAAGGGGUUAAAGAAUCAUAACGGAAACAAAAAGGGGUUAAAGAAUCAUAACGUAAACAAAAAGGGGUCAAUGAAUCAUAACGUAAACAAAAAGGGGUUAAAGAAUCAUAACAAAAGCAAAAAGUGGUUAAAGAAUCAUAACAAAAGCAAAAAGGGGUUAAAGAGUCAUGACGUAAACAAAAAGGGGUUAAAGAAUCAUAACGUAAACAAAAAGGGGUUAAAGAAUCAUAACGGAAACAAAAAGGGGUUAAAGAAUCAUAACAAAAGCAAAAAGUGGUUAAAGAAUCAUAAAAGCAAAAAGGGGUUAAAGAGUCAAUGACAAAAAUGUUAUUAAAGAAUCAAUGAUAGAAGCAAAACAGGGGUUAAAGAAUCAUAAAAAAAGCAAAAAGGGGUUAAAUCAUGAUGGGAAAAAAAACAAGUGGUGAAGAAUCAUUCGGCUCCCUUUUCUAGCAUGUUGUGCUGAGUAGCUCCACCCACAGUGAAAUCCCAUUGGUCCACAGUCCCACAGCUGUUGUUUAAACAUUACCUAUGUUCUGGGUGGCAGUGAUUGGCGCAUGACUUUUCUCUUGUUAGCGGCAUGCUUUACUUUCAUGAAGAAGACUGUAGCACACAAAUUCAUAACAGCGGACCAAAUACAUCUUUUAGUGAGUUCUCCUUAAAAUACAAUCCGAGUCUCAGAGGGUCAGAGACUCUUAAAGAGUCUCACUCAGAAAUUAUUUAUCUUUACUGGGGUGAUGCUGAAUAUUUUAAGCCGUAAAGUGCACAUUAAAAGUUUGCAAUAUCCAAUCAAAUGUAAUUAGAGUGACUUGGCAGCACUUAUAGCAAGGUUUUAGAAGAGACUUUGAUACUUGGGCUCAAGCUGCAAACAGCGGUUAGUCUGUGUGCAGUAUCUGUCUGCCCAGUGUUAUUUUAGCAUCGAAAUACUAUUAUAGUUUUUAUUAAUAUUUUAAAUUAGUAUUUCUUUUCAUAUUUUCCCAUAUGGAAAUGUAAUAUAUGACACAUAUAUUAUGUAUCUAUAUUGGCAUAUGUGUUACCUACAGUA
Cyprinus carpio carpio is the source of this 4127-nucleotide long non-coding RNA. The record is from Ensembl. NCBI's taxonomy places the organism in Eukaryota, Metazoa, Chordata, Actinopteri, Cypriniformes, Cyprinidae.